UCCAAGCGGGUAAUUCAAAAGUUUUUGAAAUCGGGUGGAACCCAAAAAGGUGUGUCUCUCUGUCUCUCUCUCUCUACUCAAGGAUGGAGAAACCCUAAAUUCUCCGGUAAAAGAUGUUGCCCCUCUUUCAUCGUCCUCUAGAUCUCGAGAUAGAUGAGAAAGGCAUCCCUCCAUCGCCAUCCUCAGGUCUUUCUCCUCCAUAUGCUCUCCAACUCGAUCUUUUAUCUUUAGUUAAUCUUUCGAUGUUGAGUUUUUGUUGCAACAACAAAUGACUUAAAUAAGGAGGUGGGUUUAUAAGUAAAGGUUUUGAUUUAAUAUCUUUUUGUGCUGUGGUUCUCAAGCUUUGUUCGAUCUAAUGAUUUUAUCAUUUAGUGUCAUAAGUUUUGUUCAACCUUCUUUAGUUUUUCUUUUAAUAAAAGUUUACGCCUUCUAUAGUAUAACCUAUGAAGUCCUUGCCAAAUCUUCUUGAUUACCUCUCCACCAUCUCGAUUCAUCUUACCAUUGUUUACUAUCGCCAUCUCUCCUUAACAACCAACAACCUCUAACACAUGCCCCUGUUCUCUAAUAAUUUGACCCUGAUUUCUAUUUUUGAAUCUCUAACCUUAGGUACUAAUUUUGACCUAGAUUUAUAUGAUGUUUAGGGUUUAAAUAGCGAAAAAUCUCACCAUUUACCUUGGUUUCAUUCAGAAUAUGUAGUGACCUCAAAUAUCUAACCCGAGGUAUCAUUUUUCACCUAGAUUUCUAUGGUUUCACAUCAACUGGUGUUGUGGGUCCUACAUGGUCGAAAACCUUAUUGUUUUACCAUAAUUUCGUUCAUAAUCUUGUGUGGCUUUGAAUAUCUAACCACAGGUGUCAUUUCUGGCCUAAUUUUCUAUGGUUCUCGGUCAUUUGUAGAAGGUAAUUUAAAGAACUUUAGGGUGCGUUUAGUAGCGGAAAAAUGGGCCGUUUUUCGGAAAAAUUUUCCAAGAAAAAUGAAAAUUUUGAAAACGUGUUUAGUUCCCCUAUUUUUCUAAAAUUUUCACGGAAAAUGAAAAUUUUCCUUUUUCUAAAAUUACAAAGAAAUUGGAAAUUUUUGGAAAAUUGAUAAUCAUUGUUUUCCACAUUUUUCUAAUUCCAAAAUUUUUCUAAAAUAUAAACACACACCCACUCCACUCCAUCCACCUCUACCUACCCCCACCUUAACACCCUCCACCCACACACACACACAUACAUACCCACCCACACACACAUCCACCCACAAACACACACACACACACAUACACAUACAUACUCACCCACACAUACACAUCCACCCACAAACACACACACAUACACAUACAUACCCACCCACACACACACCCACCCACAAACACACACACAUACAUACAUAUCCACCAACGCACCCCCACACAUACAUACAAACACACUCACACACAUACCCACCCACACCCCCACAAACACACACCCACACACACACAAACCCACACCUACGCCCACUCUCACAGACACACACCCCCACACAUACACAAACCUACAUCUACCCCCACAAAAAAACACAUACACAUACAAACACACACUCGCACCCCUACCAACCCAACAACAUCAUGACAAUCACUGACCUACCAUCACCAUCACCACCACCACCACCACUAACCCGUCACUAGCACCACCACCACCAUUGCCGCCGCCAUCAUCACCAAUGACACAAUUGCCGCCGCCACCACCAUCGCCUGUCAUCACCACCACCGCUGCCGACCCGCUACCGUCACCGCCCCCACCCACACCCUACCACCACUAUUGUUUUCUAAAAAUGAAAACCGAUAGAAAAAUACACAUCUAAACACGUUUUCUAAUUUUUUAAAACUAACAAUGAAAAAUGAAUAAGUUUAACUAAACGCGUUUUCUAAAUUUUUCAAUGAAAAAUGAAAACGGAAAACGAAAAUUGAAAAGGGAAAACAAAAAACGGAAAAUGAAAAUUGUUUUUCCGUAACUAAACGCAACCUUAGUUUCUUUCUAUUUUGUCUAUUUUUUCUAUUUUACGCAUUCCUUUUGUUUGUGUCAUUCUUCUUAUUUUGGUAAAUCACUUAUGUAGCAACAGAAAAAACUAACCAUGGUCGAUAUUAAGAUGAGUCUUGAAGAAAUAUGCAUAAUUUUGCCAAAAUCAGUGAUAUUAGUAAUGCACUGCAUGUAUUUUAUCCCACAAGAAGUGCUUAAAGAAACCUUUUUUAACUGCUGCUAACUUAUUGGUUCUCACUUUUAAUUUUCAGCUAUUAAUGGAUUUUAUUUUUUAUUUUUUCAGGGUCGGUGUAACUUAGAGAGUUGGGUGUACAUGGGAUCUUCCACUUAAAACUCAUUUUAUAACCUUUGUUCCAAUCUAAAUCUAGUUAAUUGCCUUUUCAUCCCAAAUAAGUGUUUUUCAAUUACUACCAUGAACAUUUUUAAAAAAAUUACAAUUAUAGUCCAUAUGAGGUAGUAAAUUGUGCCAACAUUUUGGUUCCCUAUUACUACUAUUUGCUUAAGACUCAUGAUGUUCCUCUAUUUAUGUUGUUGAAAAGGGGAAACCACUUCCUGGCAGGCGGUUUUGGCAUAAUUGAAAGAAAUUUGAGUAACUUGCUAUUUCUUGCUAACAAAUGGAAAUAAGUUGCUAUUUUUUUGGUUUUUUAAUUUUGGCUAAAUAAAAGAAAUAAUAUCUCUCUUUUUAGUCUUUGUAUUAUGUAAUCAUACUUUCAUUUCUUUUUGUUACAACAUUAUACUUUGAAAAGUACAAUGCUAUAAUAGAAAGAAAUAAAAGUAGGAAGCUAUAAUCUACUAUUAAUUGAAAGUCUGUUGUUUUUUGAAUUUAAGUUGGAUGAAUGGAAGAACUAGUAACUAACUCCUUAACUUUGUUUAUGUACAUUGUUUCAGUUAUAGAAGUGGAUCCGUUUGUUUGUUGUGUGAUAGGGUUUGAUGUAAUGCAUAAGUAACUGAAAUGAAUAUUUUUAUGAAGAAUUUUUUGCUGCAAAGGAACUAGAGGAUUGCGUCAAUAUGCAAUCUUCUUUUGAUGAAGAGUUUUGAUUGACAACCGGGUUAUUUAUUGAGUAACUCGGGUUACCUCUUUAUUGUCAUGAUAAAAAAUUAUAUGUUAGAUGAUGAUUUCUUGUGAGGCAUAUAUCAAGAAAAAUGUGAAUUUAUUUCAUUAUAUGUAAGUUUAGUCUAAUGAUGAUUUAAUUGGAUUCAUAAAUUGACAAUAGUUACUCAAAGAAGUACAUCUUAAUGUCACGCGACUUAUUUUUGUGCCUAAUAUUAUGACUUGAAUUUUAAUGUUCUUCAAUUUUCCAAAAAUCGUUUAUCAUACGAUUUUCAUUUUUCUUAUUUUUUCCUAAGGAAAUGAUCAAAUAAUCAUCAUAGUAGAACCAUUUCUUCAUAAAAUCGAAUAAUUUGUAGUAAAUUUAAUGGUUAAAUAAAAUAGU
RNAcentral lists this long non-coding RNA (3428 nucleotides) under Lactuca sativa (garden lettuce). RNAcentral's name for it is "long non-coding RNA (LSAT_LNC001028)". Lineage: Eukaryota; Viridiplantae; Streptophyta; Magnoliopsida; Asterales; Asteraceae. The record is from RNAcentral.